AUGAUCUAUGUGUCAAUCAUCUCACUCUCAAUCUCUCAUCACCUAGCACAGCACACGCACAUGCACGCACAACCCCAGCCCCAGCGCGCUGAUGUGGCUCCUGCACCACCAGUCCACCACCGUGCCGGCCAUGACACCAUCGCCCCGCCUCGGGCCGCACUCCCGCCGGCCCGUCCCACCGCCGUUCACCAUCCCCCGGUUGUGCCUCCUCCAAUGGCGGUCAAGCCUGCGCUGGCCGCCACAUCCCCUCAAUUUCUUUGCACCCAGGUGAUCCUUUCUCUCUCGCUCGCGUUCUCAGGUACACACAGUACAGAGAACGCGACAUGGGCUAGAGAUAGCAGAGAAAAGGACGGGCUGGGAGAAGCGGUGCGACGCCGGCGCUAA
RNAcentral lists this ribosomal RNA (384 nucleotides) under Triticum aestivum (bread wheat). RNAcentral's name for it is "partial small subunit ribosomal RNA". The record is from RNAcentral. Lineage: Eukaryota; Viridiplantae; Streptophyta; Magnoliopsida; Poales; Poaceae.